CCUACGGGAGGCAGCAGCUAAGAAUAUUCCGCAAUGCGCGAAAGCGUGACGGAGCGACGCCGCGUGGGCGAUGGAGGCCGGAAGGUUGUAAAGCCCUUUAGCGCGCGAGGAAUAAGGCCGGGAGGGAAUGCCCGGCAGGUGACUGUAGCGCGAGAAUAAGCACCGGCUAAUUACGUGCCAGCAGCCGCGGUAAU
Molecule: ribosomal RNA, 194 nt
Filed under: uncultured bacterium
Lineage: Bacteria
Description: partial 16S ribosomal RNA
Rfam family: Bacterial small subunit ribosomal RNA
Source: RNAcentral